RNAcentral lists this ribosomal RNA (457 nucleotides) under uncultured bacterium. RNAcentral's name for it is "bacterial SSU rRNA". It matches the Rfam family "Bacterial small subunit ribosomal RNA", at positions 329 to 803 of the family's 1533-position model. The record is from RNAcentral.
UUUAAGCUUCCUACGGGAGGCUGCAGUGGGGAAUCUUGCGCAAUGGGUGAAAGCCUGACGCAGCCAUGCCGCGUGAAUGAUGAAGGUCUUAGGAUUGUAAAAUUCUUUCACCGGGGACGAUAAUGACGGUACCCGGAGAAGAAGCCCCGGCUAACUUCGUGCCAGCAGCCGCGGUAAUACGAAGGGGGCUAGCGUUGCUCGGAAUUACUGGGCGUAAAGGGAGCGUAGGCGGACAUUUAAGUCAGGGGUGAAAUCCCGGGGCUCAACCUCGGAAUUGCCUUUGAUACUGGGUGUCUUGAGUAUGAGAGAGGUGUGUGGAACUCCGAGUGUAGAGGUGAAAUUCGUAGAUAUUCGGAAGAACACCAGUGGCGAAGGCGACACACUGGCUCAUUACUGACGCUGAGGCUCGAAAGCGUGGGGAGCAAACAGGAUUAGAUACCCUUGUAGUCGAAUUCUU